This 447-nucleotide ribosomal RNA is filed under the name uncultured bacterium. RNAcentral describes it as "partial 16S ribosomal RNA". It matches the Rfam family "Bacterial small subunit ribosomal RNA", at positions 29 to 523 of the family's 1533-position model. The record is from RNAcentral.
AACGAACGCUGGCGGCAGGCUUAACACAUGCAAGUCGAACGCUCCGCAAGGAGAGUGGCAGACAGGUGAGUAACACGUGGGAACGUACCCUUUACUACGGAACAACUCCGGGAAACUGGAGCUAAUACCGUAUGUGCCCUUCGGGGGAAAGAUUUAUCGGUAAAGGAUCGGCCCGCGUUGGAUUAGCUAGUUGGUGGGGUAAAGGCCUACCAAGGCGACGAUCCAUAGCUGGUCUGAGAGGAUGAUCAGCCACAUUGGGACUGAGACACGGCCCAAACUCCUACGGGAGGCAGCAGUGGGGAAUAUUGGACAAUGGGCGCAAGCCUGAUCCAGCCAUGCCGCGUGUGUGAUGAAGGCCUUAGGGUUGUAAAGCACUUUCACCGGAGAAGAUAAUGACGGUAUCCGGAGAAGAAGCCCCGGCUAACUUCGUGCCAGCCGCCGCGGUAA